This 497-nucleotide ribosomal RNA is filed under the name uncultured bacterium. Its description in RNAcentral is "partial 16S ribosomal RNA". It matches the Rfam family "Bacterial small subunit ribosomal RNA", at positions 28 to 507 of the family's 1533-position model. The record is from RNAcentral.
GAUGAACGCUGGCGGCGUGCCUAAUACAUGCAAGUCGAGCGAACAGAUAAGGAGCUUGCUCCUUUGACGUUAGCGGCGGACGGGUGAGUAACACGUGGGUAACCUACCUAUAAGACUGGAAUAACUCCGGGAAACCGGUGCUAAUGCCGGAUAACAUUUAGAACCGCAUGGUUCUAAAGUGAAAGAUGGCUUUGCUAUCACUUAUAGAUGGACCCGCGCCGUAUUAGCUAGUUGGUAAGGUAACGGCUUACCAAGGCAACGAUACGUAGCCGACCUGCGAGGGUGAUCGGCCACACGGGAACUGAGACACGGUCCAGACUCCUACGGGAGGCAGAAGUAGGGAAUCUUCCGCAAUGGGCGAAAGCCUGACGGAGCAACGCCGCGUGAGUGAUGAAGGUCUUCGGAUCGUAAAACUCUGUUAUUAGGGAAGAACAAAUGUGUAAGUAACUGUGCACGUCUUGACGGUACCUAAUCAGAAAGCCACGGCUAACUACGUG